RNAcentral lists this ribosomal RNA (214 nucleotides) under uncultured bacterium. RNAcentral's name for it is "partial 16S ribosomal RNA". It matches the Rfam family "Bacterial small subunit ribosomal RNA", at positions 524 to 732 of the family's 1533-position model. The record is from RNAcentral.
UACGUAGGGGUGCAAGCGUUUAAUCGGAAUUACUGGGCGUAAAGCGUGCGCAGGCGGCUUUGCAAGACAGAUGUGAAAUCCCCCGGGCUUAACCUGGGAACUGCAUUUGUAACUGACAUGGCUGGAGUGCGGCAGAGGGGGAUGGAAUUCCGCGUCGUAGCAGUGAAAUGCGUAGAUAUGCGGAGGAACACCGAUGGCGAAGGCAAUCCCCUGG